Molecule: transfer RNA, 73 nt
Filed under: Candidatus Pacearchaeota archaeon
Lineage: Archaea; Nanobdellati
Description: tRNA-Pro
Rfam family: tRNA
About the family: Transfer RNA (tRNA) molecules are approximately 80 nucleotides in length.
Source: RNAcentral
GAGGUAGUAGUGUAAUCUGGUAGCACCUGUGGUUUGGGUCCGUAAAAUCUAGGUUCAAAUCCUAGCUACCUCA